Long non-coding RNA from Oncorhynchus keta (chum salmon), 466 nucleotides. RefSeq lists it as uncharacterized. The transcript is spliced from 4 exons. The record is from RefSeq and is a predicted model, not a curated record. Lineage: Eukaryota; Metazoa; Chordata; Actinopteri; Salmoniformes; Salmonidae.
CCAGCAUUUAGUUAGGUAUUACUGCACUGUUGGAGCUAGGAACACCAGCAUUUAGUUAGGUAUUACUGCACUGUUGGAGCUAGGAACACCAGCAUUUAGUUAGGUAUUACUGCACUGUUGGAGCUAGGAACACCAGCAUUUAGUUAGGUAUUACUGCACUGUUGGAGCUAGGAACACCAGCAUUUAGUUAGGUAUUACUGCACUGUUGGAGCUAGGAACACCAGCAUUUAGUUAGGUAUUACUGCACUGUUGGAGCUAGGAACACCAGCAUUUAGUUAGGUAUUACUGCACUGUUGGAGCUAGGAACACCAGCAUUUAGUUAGGUAUUACUGCACUGUUGGAGCUAGGAACACCAGCAUUUAGUUAGGUAUUACUGCACUGUUGGAGCUAGGAACACCAGCAUUUAGUUAGGUAUUACUGCACUGUUGGAGCUAGGAACACCAGCAUUUAGUUAGGUAUUACUGCA